Molecule: ribosomal RNA, 276 nt
Filed under: uncultured bacterium
Lineage: Bacteria
Description: partial 16S ribosomal RNA
Rfam family: Bacterial small subunit ribosomal RNA
Source: RNAcentral
UACGUAGGGAUCCAAGCGUUGUCCGGAUUUACUGGGUGUAAAGGGUGCGCAGGCGGACUUGUAAGUCAGGGGUGAAAUCUCACAGCUUAACUGUGAAACUGCCUUUGAUACUGCAAGUCUUGGAUCCAGAAGAGAGUUGUGGAAUUCCGAGUGUAGCAGUGAAAUGUGUAGAUAUUCGGAAGAACACCAGUCGGCGAAGGCAGCAACUUGGUCUGGUAUCGACGCUCAGGCACGAAAGCAUGGGGAUCAAACAGGAGUUAGAACUGAAUCCCAUGG